GCAAGUCGAACGCAGUAGCAAUACUGAGUGGCAAACGGGUGAGUAUAAUGUGGGAAUCUGCCUUUUGGUUCGGAAUAACACGAGGAAACUUGUGCUAAUACCGGAUAAGCCCUUACGGGGAAAGUUUUAAUGCCAAAAGAUGAGCCCGCACUUGAUUAGCUAGUUGGUAAGGUAAUGGCUUACCAAGGCAACGAUCAAUAGCUGUUCUUAGAGGAAGACCAGCCACAUUGGGACUGAGACACGGCCCAAACUCCUACGGGAGGCAGCAGUGGGGAAUCUUGCACAAUGGGGGAAACCCUGAUGCAGCGAUGCCGCGUGAGUGAAGAAGGCCCUUGGGUUGUAAAACUCUUUCGUCGGGGAAGAAAAUGACUGUACCCGAAUAAGAAGGUCCGGCUAACUUCGUGCCAGCAGCCGCGGUAAUACGAAGGGACCUAGCGUAGUUCGGAAUUACUGGGCUUAAAGAGUUCGUAGGUGGUUAAAAAAGUUGAUGGUGAAAUCCCAAGGCUCAACCUUGGAACUGCCAUCAAAACUUUUUAGCUAGAGUGUGAUAGAGGAAAGUGGAAUUUCUAGUGUAGAGGUGAAAUUCGUAGAUAUUAGAAAGAACAUCAAAAGCGAAGGCAACUUUCUGGAUCAUUACUGACACUGAGGAACGAAAGCAUGGGUAGCGAAGAGGAUUAGAUACCCUCGUAGUCCAUGCCGUAAACGAUGUGUGCUAGACGUUGGAAACUUAGUUUUCAGUGUCGCAGCGAAAGCAUUAAGCACACCGCCUGGGGAGUACGACCGCAAGGUUA
Molecule: ribosomal RNA, 791 nt
Filed under: uncultured bacterium
Lineage: Bacteria
Description: bacterial SSU rRNA
Rfam family: Bacterial small subunit ribosomal RNA
Source: RNAcentral